This 461-nucleotide long non-coding RNA is filed under the name Brachypodium distachyon (stiff brome). Its description in RNAcentral is "long non-coding RNA (BDIS_LNC000109)". The record is from RNAcentral. Lineage: Eukaryota; Viridiplantae; Streptophyta; Magnoliopsida; Poales; Poaceae.
GCGGAGUCGUGGGCGUGCUCGCGGGUCGUGGCCGGAGAUUUCGGCCGGGUGGUUGGAGAAGAUGACGGGCGGGGCCCGCAUGUCAGCGGCACAGGCGGCUCGGGCGCGUGAGGCGGGGCCGGUUUGGUCCGGUUGGGUCGGUUAGCAGGCCGGUUAGGCCCAUUUGGCCGGGCCGGCCGCAGUUUUCUUUUUUUUUCUUUUCCUUUAUCUUUUUCUAUUUUCUGUUUUUGAACACCAAAAUUAAUUCAAAGCUCCAAAUCACUCCAAAUAAAUUGCAACAAAAUUUGUAAAAUCAUAUUUUCAUAUGAUCUAACUUUUGGGACAAGAAUUCGCUCAAAAUAAAAUACUUAAAAAUACCUUUGCGUAUAAAAUAGCCUUUAAGGCCUUUUAGACUAUCAAAAUAAUUUGGUUUUCAAAACAAUUUCAAAAGCCAAAUUAUGGGAUAGCUAUAUAUAUGCAUU